Long non-coding RNA from Apis dorsata (giant honeybee), 774 nucleotides. RefSeq lists it as uncharacterized. The transcript is spliced from 2 exons. The record is from RefSeq and is a predicted model, not a curated record. NCBI's taxonomy places the organism in Eukaryota, Metazoa, Arthropoda, Insecta, Hymenoptera, Apidae.
UCAAAUGAAGUAAUCGGUUAAUGUAUAUUGUAUUAACAGAUUCAACAAAUGAUUUUGAAUUGAUUGCAUCAUUGAAAUACUGAUUUCAUAAGAAUUGAAGAACAUCAAUAUGCUUUUUCUUUUUUGCUGAGGUCAGAUAAUUUCGUAAGAAUAAAAUUCGUGUCACAAUGAGGUGUAUGUUAAGUAAGAAAUCAACUAAGAAAUCAAUGAUUGAAUAAUAAAGAAUAAUAAAGAAUAAAUGCAUUUAUGAUUUAACGAUUAAUCACGAAUUAAUAUUUAUAGAUAAACGAUUUGAAUAAUUUUUUGAAGAGAAAGAAAAAAAGAAGAAAUGAGAACUAAGAAACAAUUCUCAAUAAGCCAAAGUAGAGACUUACAAGCAUGAUGUUCGAUUAAGUUCGAGUUAGACACUAGCGGUCUAGUCACGCUACGAUCACGACUUGGUCGCAGAAGUUUCAAACAUUAUUCAAUGCUCUGAAGUGUGACUGUGACAUAUGAAUGUUGAUGAAUACUAGACCAUCGAAAAACAAGAAAUGAAAACAAGUAUGAUCUGUUUUCUAUGUAACACGUGCAAGUAUUAUAUACAAUGGUUUCCGGUUAAAACAAGUCGAUAACAGAAACCGAUAUAAAAAAAACAAACACAUCUUCUGCAAAAUAUUACCAGAAAUUAAUCUUUGAACUCAAUCAUUUUCUGUUCACAAAAGAAACAAUACUAUUUUUUAAUUAUUUGUAUAAAACAAAAAGUAAUUAAAUAUCAAGUAUGUUUUUUAUUAUAAA